CCAACAGCACCUCGACCUCUGAGCCUGGUGUGGGAAGGCCAGAUUCUGCCCAGCCUGCCUCGGGGCCCUGAGCCAUGGUGGCUGGUACAGCCAGGGGUAGUGAGAAGAGGUGGGCAGGGUGCUGGGGCUGAUGUCAGCUUUGACAGAAGGCCAGCAACUGGCCUUGAGCAGGUUUUUGUCCCCAGGAGCACGUGAGCAGCGACGGGGCCACCCUGUGGGGGUGCUGUCUGGCCCUAGGGCUCAGAACAGUCCCAGAUUCAGCUCAGAGUCUUUAUUCCUUUAGCUCGGCACUGCAAUCCCAGGGUAGUGCCUGGCUUGCUGUUGGCCUCCCGCAGCACUAUUUAGAGAAGAAAUUCCACUGGGACACCUGGUACUUUGCAGAGCAGACGAACAUUUCUGGACUUGCUGUGGGGAGAGGCAGGCUGAAGCUGUGGUGCCAGGAAACAGGCUCUCCUAGGUGGAUGCAGAUGUAAUGGACAAGGGCCGCAGGUCUGGGUAGGACAGAGGCCCCUGGCUGCUGGAGGUGGAGGUAUUGCCAGGUUGGGACGUGUGGAGAAGCUGCAGAGCUCACAGGACAGUGCAGAAGGCCUGGUAAGGACCCCAGGCUGCCCGCCUGAUGGGGUCAGAGGAGGGGACAGAGCCAACGAGCCUCGCUCUGGCUUCUGCUGGUUGGCUGUGACUCCUGGUCUGCCUGGAUGGAGCCGGAGGAUAAGAAGAACAGGAAGAGAAAGGAAAGCAGCUGGAGGAUGCAGGAUGCCCGUCUGCUGUGUGGUGGAGGGGCCUGAGGAGGAAGGAGGCAUGCGGGCCCCCAGCCAAGAGGCUCAAUUAGGGUUCCCUGGCAUCCACAGGCCGGAGGAACAGCCAGUGCCUGUGGGAGGUCAGAAACCGACAGACUUGGAGCCAGUGAAUCUGGGCUGAAGACCUGCUGCUCUGCGUCAAAUUGCCAACCUCCUUGAGUUCUGAGCAGAGAAGGCAAUGGCACCCCACUCCAGUACUCUUGCCUGGAAAAUCCCAUGGACGGAGGAGCCUGGUAGGCUGCAGUCCAUGGGGUUGCGAAGAGUCAGACAUGACUGAGUGACUUCACUUUCACGCAUUGGAGAAGGAAAUGGAAACCUACUCCAGUGUUCUUGCCUUGAGAAUCCCAGGGAUGGCGGAGCCGGUUGGCUGCCGUCUAUGAGGUCGCACAGAGUUGGACACGACUGAAGCGACUUAGCAGCAGCAGCAGCAUGAGCUCUGAGCGUCACUCCACGGUAUAGGCGACCCUGCUGACCUUAAAGACUUAGAGUGAAGAUUCAACAAUGAAGCUCCAGCCCAGCUCCUAGCACAGAAGCCAGCACGAUGGCCGUGGUCCUGGGUUCCUGGGGUGCCUGCGGGCUGGCUCCCGCCAUCCACCUGCUCCUGGAGUUCACACACUCAGACCAAGAGGAAAACGAGGAAAGGAUGCAGGUUCUCCCACAGUGACAGAAGCCAGCGGCUGAGCCCAAAGUCCACGCUGGGUCUCGACUUCCCCAAUCCACUGUACUUAAUCGAUGGGUUCACAAGCUUGGCCAGAGCAAUGCCAUCCUUCGCAGGGACAUGAGGGGAGACAGAGGGGGAGAAGGUACUGGGCAUGUGUUGGAGAACCAGGUUAUGGACGUCUGUAUGUACGCCGCCGUCAGGAUCUGCUACAGAUCCGACUUUGAGCAACUGGAGCCCGGUUACUCGAAGGAGAUCCCUGAGAAGGUGAGGUUCUUCUCAGACUUUCUGGGGAAGAGGCCUUGGCUUGCAGGGGCCAAGCUCACCUAGCUGGACUCCCUGGAUUAUGACAUCCUUGAUGGGCACCGCCAUGUUUGAGCCCAAGUGCCUGGAUGAAUCCCAAACCUGGAAGACUGCCUUUCCCAUGUUGAGGGCCUGAGGAUCUCUGCCCCUGAAGCCCAGUCGCUUCUGCCCAGGGCCUCUGUUUCUGGAGACUGCCCUGUGGGGCAAUAGGUGGGACCUUCUAACCAGAUGGAGUGAGGAGCCGGUGCCCUCAAGAGCAGCCGGACCUCCCUGCCCCCAGAACCACCUGUCCUUUCCUUUCUCCUUCUGGCCACUCUAGAUGCCUUCACAGCCCCCUUGUCUCCCUCCCAACUCCCUUCCCAUCCUUCCUUUAAAGCUUCAGCUCCCGUUUUUCUUCAACAAAUUUCCUCCCCCACCCCCAUGUUCUUCCUCCUGCACUAAAGCUCAACCAGACCGUCCUUCCUUUCCGUGGUUGCUUCUGCCCUGAGGAGUCCACCAGACCCCCGUCCCAGAGAGCUCUGCCCUGAAGACCUGACUUGGCUAGUGUGGGGGCCAUGCUUCCCUGUGUGGUUCCUGCCUGCCCUAUCUGGUCCCCAGUAAAGACUUAAUCAUACCACCAACAACUACAAGACUCUAGUACGUGUGCUAGAAUCUGAAUGUAGCAGGCGCUUCUCAUGGCUCACUCCCUUCCUCCCACAAACCCAGCCGGCCCCACCACUUCGCUUGGUGCUCCAAGGUUCUGAAAGCAGAGAAGGCAACUCUAGACGCUCAGGCUGUCCUGGCAGCGGAGGGUCCACUGAUCCCAGACCAGGGUCUUCUUCCUAUGGAGCUUCCCAGAGUUACUGCCAGGCACCACCAGGCUCCAGAGCCCUGGACAAAGGUUCUCGGAUGCCUGUCUUUAGACAUAGAUACAAAGCGAUCAGCGUAGUAGAUCCCAGAAUUCAAGAGAGAUGGAACUGCUGGUCUAAAGCCAUACAUCAUCAAUGCACAGUGAGGGGGGACUUUGGCCACGUGGGCUCUGAACCCCAGAGCCGGCUAGGAGGGGCUUGUCCUUGUCUGGAGAGCCCUCGGAUCCUCUGCCACUCUGCAGGCACAUCAGUAAGAGAUGCACUUGCAGGCAGACAGACGCCAGUUCAAAUCUCAGCUGUAUUCCUUUCCAGCUGCAUGACAACGGGUUUGACCUCUCUAAGGUCUGCUCCCUUGUGUGAAAAGGAGGAUGCCAGUUCAUUCGGAAGGCUGCCCGGAAGAACAGCUUGAGAGAGGCACACCAUUUAACCACCACCCAGUGGAGGUGACUUGACGGUGCUUCAGACCAGUGACCGGUGGUCCUGACACUGCACUGUUCUGCUCCUUUCUGUUCUGUCCUGAACCUCUUCUGCUUCUUUGCUUCACUUGAAUCCGAUCCAGUGCCAUCAAGUCCUGAUCUUUGACCCCUCCCAUCAGCCUGACCCUCCAUGGUCCCCACAUCUUCAGAAUAGCCCUGCUGGAAGUGACCCAUCCCAUCUGACCCUGGCUCACCUGGGAUCAGCAGGUAGGUCUCCCUCCCAGGACAACUCCUUGAGCCAGGAGCCAACGUUCCCCAGCAGGAGGGGCCAGGGCCCCAGGAAGAGGAAUGGUUCUGGGUUUGGGCCUCCACUUGGGAGCUGGCUCAGGCCCAUCUCUGGCCACUCAGCCUCCUGAGGAGCCUGCCGUGAGGGACGUGUGACUAGCCCUAGACCCUCAGUGCCCUGGUCCACUCCCGGCGGAUCCGUCCACACCUCAUUUAGCCACUUAGGGAGGAGAAAGAGCAAGGGGAGCUGGAGAAAUCUGUCCAGACCCUGAUGAAUAGUUUCCCAAGCCUGCUGUUGCCAUGGCAGCCAGCUGGGAACACCAUUUCCAGGGCCCGAGGCGCUAAGACCUGCACGGGGGGCUGCCCUGCUGGGCUGCUGCCCACUCGCCUACCCCCACCCGGCCUCCUGGCUCCUUAGCAACUGCUGUCACCAUUGCCAUCGCAACCACGGCUGCAGCUUCUGCACUGGCAGCUGGAGUGGGGGAGGGGGCAGUGUCCAGGGAUGUUCUAGGAGGAGGCGGGGAGUAUGUGCCUGGCAGAGUUGAGGUACUUAUGAGGUAGGAAGGGAAAACCUGGGCCACUUUGCCUCAGUGGCUCCUUCCUGACUAUAGACUCCUAAGGAUGUGUUUGUGUAUCUUGGUGUAUGUGGGUUUUUCUGGAGAAAGAGUUUAGAGUUUUUAUCCAACUCUCAAAGAAGACCAAGAUCCCCAGUGAGUAAGAGCCACAGUCAUGGACACUUCUGCUUUCAGAGUCAGAAUCAUCUCAGGGACUGGUUGAUCCCCAGGCUUCAGAGAUAAGCACAGGGGAAAGGUGGAGGCAGGAGGCGUACUACUCAGGGACCCCUCAGGGGUGCCCCCUGGGGUCCUUUGGGAACCGGGGCUGGCGUCUCCCUCCUGACCACCUUAGAUGGUCCAUCCUUCUCAUCUGCCCCGGCUUGCAGCUCUGCCCCGAAGUCAGCCGUGCAAACCAUCUGUGUUUCCUGUGCCCAGCCCCUGAGUCCCGUGUCCUACACACCCUCUACAGUGUCCCAGCAACCUGCACACUGACCAGCGGGGAUGUUCACUCACCACUGCCAUUUAGAGAUGAGAACUUUGAAACAACAGAUAAAGUGAGCCAUCUGCCAAGUCGAUGCAGUGGGUUUCCCUGUCCCCGAGGAGCAGGAGUCACAGGGCACCAUAUUUUCUCGGGGGACACUGUGCAAUCGCCACUGUUGGCUACAUGCAGAUCAAAGGAAGUGACCUCGGGACAUCCCUGUAGACUGACCUCUGCUACAGAGAAUUGCCCAUGCCCGCAGGUCAGGUACCCCUGGGUAUCCUGGUUGGUACCCUUGGGCGGGCAGAUGGCACAGUGUCUCUGGCUACCAGGUGCCUGGUUCAACAGUCUAGGUGAGGGAUUUUGAAGGUUCCACAGAGGGAGCAGAAAAGACCAGAUGCCCCACACUUCACUGGCAUGUGGGGGGCGGGCAGGUGUUCAUGAGGGGCCUGAGAGGGAGGUGAGAGGCUUGGAACACCCCCAGGCCACGUGGGCUGUUGGCAUCCUAGCAGAGGAUGACAGGGACGCUGUGUUCGUCACUGCUGUGCAGAAACACAAGGUACCAUCCGAUCCGCAAGUGGGAGUGGGGGGCUCCGUCAUCUGCAGGCUUCUGUGGGAGCAAUCUCUCGGCCCCUCAUCUUGCCCCAGAGGCGCAGCGCCGAGAGCAGAUGGUGAGGGGGAGGAGGGUGGGUCCCGAUUCCUGAGUCACUUGUCUGCCGGGCUUCCUUUUGGGGGUGCUGGCAAGUACAGCACGCUCCAUCAUCGCGGACAAAUUGGUGGCCGGAUGGCAGGGAGGCGAGGGUCAGACAAAGGAGGUGAUGCUGGGAGUGCCUCACACCCAGUCAGGAGGUGAUUAAGCUGUGGAGGAGAAAGCCGGGGAGUCAUCGCUGACUCAGGGAUGAGGCUGCUGCUCUGUUCUCGCCUCACCUGCCCGCUCACUCGCAGGCUGGAGCGGGGAGGCUGGUUGAAAAGGUGAGUGAUUCAGAGGCACUUUAAAAAGCAGCGCUUCUUAAGCUGACGAGCUUCUGAGACUGAAUCAGACUUUUUUUUUCCUUUAAUUUUCCAAUGUGAGGAGGUUGGAGUCUUUUCUGAGAACUAGGGACAGAGCCCAGGGUGGACACAGCUGGGGGCCUGGACAGGCGAAGCAGCCAUGUGCCCCCUAGCUCUGAGUGGGGUGUGUUUGAGAGAGGCUGCCGGCUGGCUAGUUAAGGGCCUGGGAUGUGAGCCCAGUCUGGACUCACUAGCUCUGGGCAGUGACCACUCCCUCCAACUCCACGGCAACCCCAGGUCUAUUUUCUCAUCCAUAGGAAGAGACUAGAAUUCCUGGGUACCAGACUGGGAGGGGAGAGGGCAGGGCAGCACCGGUGCAGCCCUAAAUGAAGAAGAAGUAACUUCUCUUCAGUUUCUCUCUCCUAUUCCGAAGAGAAGUAAGACAUCCUGAUUUAUAUCACACGCUGUGGUCACAACAGAACAGUAAGAUGGGUAAUUCAGUGAUGCAAAUUACCCUCAAAUACAAUAAACAUUUAUUGAAAGACGCUGCUUUAUUGUUGGCGACCCCCUCUGGGAAGGUGCUAAAGGUGCGCGGAUCUGGUUGGUGGGUGUCCAAGGAGACUGAGAUGGUGCUCCUUGUGUUUUGGGUUCAGAGUCUCAAAGACAAAAAGUCAGAAAACUAAGCUUUUGGAAGGGCUGAAUAUAGAAUAAUCAAGACCCUAAACCUUGGAGGGUUCGUCAAAUGCCCCAUGUCGGGCUGGGUAACACCAAACAUGUGCCUUGAGAGUGAGUCUAAUUCUCUUUCAAUUUUUCUUUAUCCCAAAGGAGAAGGAAGAAUCUUUGACCAGCAAGAGCAGCCAGCUUGCAAAGACAGGAUGGCUGACAUGAGGUGCAAACAAGCAAGUCAGGGAGGUCACUUGUUUGACCUCCAGGAUGCAUUGCCCAGAGCCCGCAGGGUGAUUCCAGCUGUGCAGGGCACCCGUGCCCAGAGCCCCUGUGAGCCUGGCAGCUGACAACAUGCACCCAAGGGGCCAGGUCUCGGCUGGGGCUCACCUGGAGACACACCCUCCAUCCUGCUGUCCACGGGCUCCCUCCUGCCUGGUACCACUCCCACCACCUGACCGUUCUGGGCUCUGCCAAGAGCCGCCUGUUCAGCCGGUGUGAGCUGCUCACACAUAGCUUUCCUGCUGUUUCCUGGGGUUUAUUAUGACCUUGGGAAGAGUCAAAGCCAUUUUCUCCUUGGCAGGAAUGGGCUUUGGGCUUGUCUGAAUUCUAGCCACAGAUGCAUCCAGAAUGUUCCCACAGCCACAAGAGCUCCACAGUCAGGGUCACUUAACCAUCAAAUUGGGAGCCAGGUAACCAAGAUCUUGGUUGGUUCCUGCACCCACUGGUGGGAGGGGCCUGACAACCCAUGAAGCGUCCUUUUCUGCUCCCAAAGCCCGCUUCUUAUACAUGCCUGGCCUCCACCAGCCACACAGACAACUCUCCUAGGAACUUCCCUCCUCACUUGCCAUGCAUGGGCUGCAGCCUCUUGCCAUUGAAAGCACAGACCACAGCCAUCAGCAUAUAGAUUGAGCUGUUAACACAGGAAGAACAGAGUGAAAAGGGAGGGGGCUUACAGACCUGAGGUGGGCUUUUCUGGGGGAAGGUGGUUUCUGAGAUGAGGGGUCAACCAGCUGCUUCUGCCACCUCACCAAGGAGAAGGGGAGAGUCCGAAUAAGGGGGUCAUCACUAUGCCUGGCCCCUCCCCCAUAGGGGCAGAGGAAGGGGCAGGAAGCAGGGCUGGCGUGUCUCUGCACCCCCACUGCCAGUCCCAGGCCAUCACCCCGACACGUCCUGCUUGCUGAAGGAUCUCCCUGUCCAGUCUCUACUUUCCAUAGUGGGUCUUGAUUCUCCUUUGAAUCUUGGCCACAAGCAGACCUUUGCUGAGUCUGUGACCACAAGGCAUUUAAGAUGCAAUGUUAGUUUCCCCCACCCCGGGGGAAGGGCGGGAGGCAGGUGGCAGGGCUGGAUUGGAGCCCAGGAUGAUGCUUGGUGGGAAGCUGGAGGGGCAGGUAGACUCAGAUUACACACUUGGGAGUCCAGACGAGGGAGCUGAUGCCUCGUGAGAUGAAACGGUUUGUUUACCGAGAGCUUGUGCUCAUUGAUGGGAGAGCAAGACUACGCUCAGGUCAUUGGACACCCGAGCCUUCCUGCAGCUGUGGAGCCUAUCCCAUCCAGCAGUGGCUCAGCUGUUCCUGCCUGGGGAGGAGCACCCAGAUCUGCAGACCAGGCUCCUGCUGGUGAUGUGAGUGCCACUGCACACACGGCCACACACACUCGACAUCAUCUCUUGCACACUUGCCACGUGCUGGAUGGCGGAGUGCACAUCACAUGUGACGGGAUCUCUGCCCCAAGCAGUGGUCAGGAGGGCUUCCUUGGUGGUCCAGUGGUUAAGAAUCCAUGUUGCAAUGCAGGGGACACAAUUUCGGUCCCUGGUUCUGGGAAUAUCCCACAUGCCCUGGGCGGCUAAGAUCGUGUGCUGUGAAUACCGAAGCCCACAUGCAGUGGCUACUGAAGACUGUGUGCCUACAGCCUGUGCUCCACGACAAGAGAAGCCACCAAAACAUAACUAGAGAGAAGGCUGCACUAGAGAAGAGCCCAUGCAGCAACGAAGAUCCAGUCCAGCCAAAAAUAAAUAAAUAAUAUAAAUUGUAUAUAAAAAUAUCACCGGGGGAAGAGGAAGCAGGUGCCAGGCUGUGAAGGUGGCAAGAAGAAGCCCCUGAAGCAGCCCAAGAAGCAAGACAAGGAGAUGGAUGAGGGAGAUAAGGCAUUCAAGCAGAAACAGAAGGAGGAGCUGAAGAAACUUGAGGAGCUAAAAGUGAAGGCCAGGGGAAAGGCCCCCUGGCCACAGGUGGAAUUAAGAAAUCUGGCAAAAAAAUAAGCUGUUCCGUGGACCUAAGACAGUGAUGAUCCUUAGUUCCAUUCCUCUGCAAACACCGGCAUUCCCUGCCAUAACAGCCUUUGCAUCCUCUAGCUAAGAUGAAGUCUUGUCUUGGAACUUAUUGUACAUUUAAGAAUAAACUUUUGUAAAAAAACAAAACAAAAAUCAUACACUGGCUCAUUUGUCUUCAUUUCUUCUCAGCCGU
Long non-coding RNA from Bos taurus (domestic cattle), 8457 nucleotides. NCBI's taxonomy places the organism in Eukaryota, Metazoa, Chordata, Mammalia, Artiodactyla, Bovidae. The record is from Ensembl.